RNAcentral lists this ribosomal RNA (353 nucleotides) under Desulfuromonas sp. RNAcentral describes it as "bacterial SSU rRNA". It matches the Rfam family "Bacterial small subunit ribosomal RNA", at positions 1 to 353 of the family's 1533-position model. Lineage: Bacteria; Pseudomonadati; Thermodesulfobacteriota; Desulfuromonadia; Desulfuromonadales; Desulfuromonadaceae. The record is from RNAcentral.
AACUGGAGAGUUUGAUCCUGGCUCAGAACGAACGCUGGCGGCGUGCUUAACACAUGCAAGUCGAACGAGAAAGGAAUCUUCGGAUUCCGAGUAGAGUGGCGCACGGGUGAGUAACACGUGGAUAACCUGCCCUGUGAUCUGGGAUAACCGACCGAAAGGACGGCUAAUACCGGAUAAGCCCACGACGUCUUCGGACGAUGUGGGAAAAGAUUUAUCGUCACAGGAUGGGUCCGCGGUCCAUUAGCUAGUUGGUAGGGUAACGGCCUACCAAGGCCACGAUGGAUAGCUGGUCUGAGAGGAUGAUCAGCCACACUGGAACUGAGACACGGUCCAGACUCCUACGGGAGGCAGCA